RNAcentral lists this small RNA (98 nucleotides) under Escherichia coli. RNAcentral's name for it is "partial RtT sRNA". It matches the Rfam family "RtT RNA", at positions 35 to 130 of the family's 130-position model. Rfam says of the family: This family represents a bacterial cis-regulatory element known as RtT RNA. Lineage: Bacteria; Pseudomonadati; Pseudomonadota; Gammaproteobacteria; Enterobacterales; Enterobacteriaceae. The record is from RNAcentral.
ACUAAGGUUCGAUUCGAGCGAAAGCGAGAGAACGUUGCCACAGGCAACGGCCCGAAGAGUGAGGAGCGAAGCGACGAAUAAUCCUUCCCCCACCACCA